AGCGAACGCUGGCGGCAGGCCUAACACAUGCAAGUCGAGCGCUCGUAGCAAUACGAGAGCGGCAGACGGGAGAGUAACACGUGGGAACGUACCCUUUGGUUCGGAACAACCCAGGGAAACUUGGGCUAAUACCGGAUAAGCCCUUACGGGGAAAGAUUUAUCGCCGAAGGAUCGGCCCGCGUCUGAUUAGCUAGUUGGUGGGGUAACGGCCCACCAAGGCGACGAUCAGUAGCUGGUCUGAGAGGAUGAUCAGCCUCACUGGGACUGAGACACGGCCCAGACUCCUACGGGAGGCAGCAGGUGGGGAAUAUUGGACAAUGGGCGCAAGCCUGAUCCAGCCAUGCCGCGUGGGUGAUGAAGGCCCUAGGGUUGUAAAGCCCUUUCGGCGGGAAGAUAAUGACGGUACCCG
This 409-nucleotide ribosomal RNA is filed under the name uncultured bacterium. RNAcentral's name for it is "bacterial SSU rRNA". It matches the Rfam family "Bacterial small subunit ribosomal RNA", at positions 29 to 481 of the family's 1533-position model. The record is from RNAcentral.